Molecule: ribosomal RNA, 496 nt
Filed under: uncultured bacterium
Lineage: Bacteria
Description: partial 16S ribosomal RNA
Rfam family: Bacterial small subunit ribosomal RNA
Source: RNAcentral
GAUGAACGCUGGCGGCGUGCCUAAUACAUGCAAGUCGAGCGAACAGACGAGGAGCUUGCUCCUCUGACGUUAGCGGCGGACGGGUGAGUAACACGUGGAUAACCUACCUAUAAGACUGGGAUAACUUCGGGAAACCGGAGCUAAUACCGGAUAAUAUAUUGAACCGCAUGGUUCAAUAGUGAAAGACGGUUUUGCUGUCACUUAUAGAUGGAUCCGCGCCGCAUAGCUAGUUGGUAAGGUAACGGCUUACCAAGGCAACGAUGCGUAGCCGACCUGAGAGGGUGAUCGGCCACACUGGAACUGAGACACGGUCCAGACUCCUACGGGAGGCAGCAGUAGGGAAUCUUCCGCAAUGGGCGAAAGCCUGACGGAGCAACGCCGCGUGAGUGAUGAAGGUCUUCGGAUCGUAAAACUCUGUUAUUAGGGAAGAACAAAUGCGUAAGUAACUAUGCACGUCUUGACGGUACCUAAUCAGAAAGCCACGGCUAACUACGUG